This 73-nucleotide transfer RNA is filed under the name Acidimicrobiales bacterium. RNAcentral's name for it is "tRNA-Lys". It matches the Rfam family "tRNA". From Rfam's summary of the family: Transfer RNA (tRNA) molecules are approximately 80 nucleotides in length. Their secondary structure includes four short double-helical elements and three loops (D, anti-codon, and T loops). Lineage: Bacteria; Bacillati; Actinomycetota; Acidimicrobiia; Acidimicrobiales. The record is from RNAcentral.
GGGGGUGUAGCUCAGCUGGCAGAGCGGCCGCCUUUUAAGCGGAUGCGCGAGGGUUCGAGACCCUCCACCCCCA